Molecule: long non-coding RNA, 633 nt
Filed under: Phoenix dactylifera (date palm)
Lineage: Eukaryota; Viridiplantae; Streptophyta; Magnoliopsida; Arecales; Arecaceae
Description: long non-coding RNA (PDAC_LNC012536)
Source: RNAcentral
UUGGUUUUCCAGGAUCACCCAAAACCUAAGUUGGUUUUCCGGGCUCACCAACAACCUACAUUGGUUUUGCGAGCUCACCAACAACCUACACCGUUGGUUUUACGGGCUCACCAAUAAACCUUACAAGGAAUUGAAAGAAAAGAGUUUAAAGCUUCUAAAUGAGCAAAUAUAACAAGUAUGCACUAAAAGAAGAGAUAGAAAAUAAUUAUCGCUUUGAAGAUGCUCUUCUCUUCUUUGCUCAAGUUACUUCACUUCUCAAGGGGUUGGUAGAGCUCUUGAAUGCACUUGAAGAUUGCGCAACCACCUUCUUUUGGAGUUUGAAUGAAGCAACUUGAUGAAGAAGACUUGAACUUGCUUUCUCUUGAAUGCACUCUCUUGUUUUUGCAAAAGGUACUUUUUACUUGAAAAAUAGACCUCUUAAAUACUUCUCCAACCUCAGAUGAUCACUCCCUAGGUGUUGGAAUGGAGAAACUAGCCAUUUCUAGCCAUUGGGGACUUAAAAAGUAUAUCUGCAGAACUAGUCGUUAUGCUGUCAGCCGUGCUGGGGUCGACCCAAGUUACUGUUCCACAGACUGAGGUCGGCUCAUGUUUUACUGGGGUCGGCUCCUGCUACAGUGGGAUCGACUCAAGCUU